GUCGUGAGAUGUUGGGUUAAGUCCCGCAACGAGCGCAACCCUCAUCUUCAGUUGCCAUCAGGUUAAGCUGGGCACUCUGGAGAAACUGCCGGUGACAAGCCGGAGGAAGGCGGGGAUGACGUCAAGUCCUCAUGGCCCUUACGGGCUGGGCUACACACGUGCUACAAUGGCGGUGACAGCGGGCGGCGACGGUGCGAGCCGAAGCCAAUCCCGAAAAGCCGUCUCAGUUCGGAUUGCACUCUGCAACUCGAGUGCAUGAAGUUGGAAUCGCUAGUAAUCGCGGAUCAGCAUGCCGCGGUGAAUACGUUCCCGGGCCUUGUACACACCGCCCGUCACGCCAUGGGAGUUGGUUUUACCCGAAGGCGGUUUUGCUGACCCAGCAAUGGGGGGCAGCCGACCACGGUAAGGUCAGCGACUGGGGGCGAAGUCGUAACAAGGUAGCCGUAGGGGAACCUGCGGCUGGAUCACCUCCUUUCUGGGUCUGGAGGAAGAGCUUGUGCCCGCCAGGGCAUGGGUAAUUUCUCUGGCUACCACAACACUGACGCCGAACGCAGCUUUGAGGCCGCCGUCCCCGCAUCCCUUCUCCCACGGAAAAAGACGAGCGAUCGGGCUAGUAGCUCAGUUGGUUAGAGCGCGCGCUUGAUAAGCGUGAGGUCGGAAGUUCAAGUCUUCCCUGGCCCACCACUGACGACUGGCCUUCGUGCUCUUGAGUGAGUGUGCUGGCGGGUAGCUGACCCUGGGGCCGUAGCUCAGCUGGGAGAGCGCCUGCUUUGCAAGCAGGAGGUCACCGGUUCGAUCCCGGUCGGCUCCACCAGAGCCGACCAACCUUCUGAGUAAGCCGGCUCCACCAGAGCCGACGAAGAGCAAGAGUUCGGCUCCACCAGAGCCGACCAGACUGCUGUCAAGAUGGCGGCUCCACCAGAGCCGACCAACUUCUGAGUAAGCCGGCUCCACCAGAGCCGACCAGAACUGGAAAUCAAUAUUCCGUGGGAUGAAGAAAGAGAGAAAUUAGCGGGUUUGGUUGGGCGCGGCUGCGCUUGAUCGGAUCCGUUAUGCGGUCUUCGGGCCGCUGCUGUUUUACAUUGUGGAUAAGAAUGCGACUGGCCGUUGGCGCCGGUUGCCUUGUUGUAUGCGCUUGGCCCAGGGAGGCUGGACGCUGAACGAGGAACCGAUUGUCGAUUGGCCAGGCGGGUAAUAUGAAAUGAAGAGCUGAGUGUUAAGUCGAGGUUUUGCGAUCGCGGGUGGGGAUUUUGAUCUCUGUGUGCGGUGGCGAGCUUCGGAUCAAGCGUUUAAGGGCAUUUGGUGGAUGCCUUGGCACUGAGAGGCGAUGAAGGACGUGGCACGCUGCGAAAAGCCGCGGGGAGGGGCGAGCACCCUUUGAUCCGUGGAUAU
Molecule: small RNA, 1392 nt
Filed under: uncultured Rhodospirillales bacterium
Lineage: Bacteria; Pseudomonadati; Pseudomonadota; Alphaproteobacteria; Rhodospirillales
Description: bacterial SSU rRNA
Rfam family: Bacterial small subunit ribosomal RNA (bases 1-475)
Source: RNAcentral